Molecule: ribosomal RNA, 566 nt
Filed under: uncultured bacterium
Lineage: Bacteria
Description: partial 16S ribosomal RNA
Rfam family: Bacterial small subunit ribosomal RNA
Source: RNAcentral
UGGGGAAUUUUGGACAAUGGGGGGAAACCCUGAUCCAGCCAUCCCGCGUGUGCGAUGAGGGCCUUCGGGUUGUAAAGCACUUUUGGCAGGAAAGAAACGUCGCGGGUUAAUACCCCGCGAAACUGACGGUACCUGCAGAAUAAGCACCGGCUAACUACGUGCCAGCAGCCGCGGUAAUACGUAGGGUGCAAGCGUUAAUCGGAAUUACUGGGCGUAAAGCGUGCGCAGGCGGUUCGGAAAGAAAGAUGUGAAAUCCCAGAGCUUAACUUUGGAACUGCAUUUUUAACUACCGGGCUAGAGUGUGUCAGAGGGAGGUGGAAUUCCGCGUGUAGCAGUGAAAUGCGUAGAUAUGCGGAGGAACACCGAUGGCGAAGGCAGCCUCCUGGGAUAACACUGACGCUCAUGCACGAAAGCGUGGGGAGCAAACAGGAUUAGAUACCCUGGUAGUCCACGCCCUAAACGAUGUCAACUAGCUGUUGGGGGCCUUCGGGCCUUGGUAGCGCAGCUAACGCGUGAAGUUGACCGCCUGGGGGAGUACGGUCGCAAGAUUAAAACUCAAAGGAAUU